This 587-nucleotide ribosomal RNA is filed under the name Pseudomonas sp. EECC-140. RNAcentral describes it as "bacterial SSU rRNA". It matches the Rfam family "Bacterial small subunit ribosomal RNA", at positions 87 to 670 of the family's 1533-position model. Lineage: Bacteria; Pseudomonadati; Pseudomonadota; Gammaproteobacteria; Pseudomonadales; Pseudomonadaceae. The record is from RNAcentral.
UCUUGAGAGCGGCGGACGGGUGAGUAAUACCUAGGAAUCUGCCUGAUAGUGGGGGAUAACGUUCGGAAACGGACGCUAAUACCGCAUACGUCCUACGGGAGAAAGCAGGGGACCUUCGGGCCUUGCGCUAUCAGAUGAGCCUAGGUCGGAUUAGCUAGUUGGUGAGGUAAUGGCUCACCAAGGCUACGAUCCGUAACUGGUCUGAGAGGAUGAUCAGUCACACUGGAACUGAGACACGGUCCAGACUCCUACGGGAGGCAGCAGUGGGGAAUAUUGGACAAUGGGCGAAAGCCUGAUCCAGCCAUGCCGCGUGUGUGAAGAAGGUCUUCGGAUUGUAAAGCACUUUAAGUUGGGAGGAAGGGCAUUAACCUAAUACGUUGGUGUCUUGACGUUACCGACAGAAUAAGCACCGGCUAACUCUGUGCCAGCAGCCGCGGUAAUACAGAGGGUGCAAGCGUUAAUCGGAAUUACUGGGCGUAAAGCGCGCGUAGGUGGUUUGUUAAGUUGAAUGUGAAAUCCCCGGGCUCAACCUGGGAACUGCAUCCAAAACUGGCAAGCUAGAGUAUGGUAGAGGGUAGUGGAAUUUC